Molecule: ribosomal RNA, 253 nt
Filed under: uncultured bacterium
Lineage: Bacteria
Description: partial 16S ribosomal RNA
Rfam family: Bacterial small subunit ribosomal RNA
Source: RNAcentral
UACGAAGGGGGCUAGCGUUGUUCGGAAUUACUGGGCGUAAAGCGCGCGCAGGCGGCCUUUCAAGUCGGUGGUGAAAUCCCAGAGCUCAACUCUGGAAUUGCCAUCGAAACUGUAAGGCUUGGGUACGGGAGAGGUGAGUGGAAUUCCGAGUGUAGAGGUGAAAUUCGUAGAUAUUAGGAAGAACACCAGUGGCGAAGGCGGCUCACUGGCCCGGUACUGACGCUGAGGCGCGAAAGCGUGGGGAGCAAACAGG